CUGUUAUGUCGAUGGUGUGAG
RNAcentral lists this non-coding RNA (21 nucleotides) under Arabidopsis thaliana (thale cress). The record is from RNAcentral. Lineage: Eukaryota; Viridiplantae; Streptophyta; Magnoliopsida; Brassicales; Brassicaceae.